RNAcentral lists this ribosomal RNA (253 nucleotides) under uncultured bacterium. RNAcentral describes it as "partial 16S ribosomal RNA". It matches the Rfam family "Bacterial small subunit ribosomal RNA", at positions 524 to 776 of the family's 1533-position model. The record is from RNAcentral.
UACGAAGGGGGCUAGCGUUGCUCGGAAUCACUGGGCGUAAAGCGUGCGCAGGCGGUUUUGUAAGCCAGAUGUGAAAUCCCCGGGCUUAACCUGGGAAUGGCAUUUGGGACUGCAAGGCUGGAGUUUGGCAGAGGAGACUGGAAUUCCUGGUGUAGCAGUGAAAUGCGUAGAUAUCAGGAGGAAUACCGAUGGCGAAGGCAGGUCUCUGGGCUAUAACUGACGCUCAUGCACGAAAGCGUGGGGAGCAAACAGG